RNAcentral lists this long non-coding RNA (280 nucleotides) under Homo sapiens (human). Its description in RNAcentral is "non-protein coding lnc-NAALADL2-1:12". Lineage: Eukaryota; Metazoa; Chordata; Mammalia; Primates; Hominidae. The record is from RNAcentral.
GCCCGGCAGCCGUACCGCAGACGAGCCCGCGCCCGCGCCGCUCAGUCUCCCAGCUGGACGUUCAAAAUAGCUUUUGAUGUCUUAGGGCGUCUUUUAUUCAACCCUAGAGGCUGAGGGAAGAAAAGAAUAAUUUAAAUGAAAUUUAGUUUCUAUAAAGAAAACGAUUAAAAACAAGAAAUGAGCAUUGACUAUUAGGCACCUGGAUGAAGACUGGGUCCAGAUUGUCAGUCUCCUGUAACCUGCAGAAGCCCUCCAGUUGCACUAGGAACAUUCAAUUGAA